Molecule: non-coding RNA, 1075 nt
Organism: Lolium perenne
Lineage: Eukaryota; Viridiplantae; Streptophyta; Magnoliopsida; Poales; Poaceae
Source: RefSeq, a predicted model, not a curated record
GAGAGAUUGAGUGGGGCGAGCUACGUUGCUCGCCAUCCGCGUACAUCGGUUAUAAUGCUGGCGCCACCGCAUGCUACACGCCCUGUUGUUCUGGCCUUUCUGUUGCCAAGACCAAGCUGGCAGGGGUGCUGCUAGACGACCUGAGUUUGGGUGGUGACCAUGUAAAUCGGCGAUCUUGUUGGCGCCACCGCCAUGCCACACGCCCUGAUGUUUGGGCCUUUGUGCAGCCAGAACCAAGGGCAGAGAGGCACCCCUACCCUCACCUAGCUGCUGGACGACCAGAGCUUAGGUGGUGAAUGUGUUAAUGUCAAGUCAUAUGCUUCUUUUGUGGCAUCAACUCCUGAAGCUUUGGUGCAGGGUGGUGCUGCGCAAGUGGCUUAACAUCGAACCCGGGUCUGGCGGAUAUGAGACUUCAACACCGCCAAGGACGACCACCAGCAAGUUCCGCUUUACUUGCCCAUCUUGCUCUUACCACCAUCCCUUGCCAUUUCUGCACAUGGCUUGCUCUAGUUUAGAUUUAGUUUUUGUGUGGGGAUUUGAGAACAUGUCACUGUAAGCAUGGUUUUAAAGGCGUUAAGGCGUCCUAAGCGGAGGGGUGGCGCUUAGGCGACGCCUAGGCGGACGCUUUGGACACCUAGGCGCCUAAGGCAGACAUUUUUCCAAGGCGGAGGGGGUUGCUUAGGCGACGCCUUUAAAACCAUGGCUGUAAGUACGACUGCUAUGGUUCUUCUAUGCAGAUACAAAGUUAGUCCUUAGAUCAAUGAUGUAACUAAAUCAUAGUCUCCGAUGUAAUUAAUAUAGGGAUGGUGUUGACGAGAGCCAGCUUACAUGUGCUUAACAGUGUUGGAUCAAAUAAUUGAGAUGCGUUCAACACGAGUACUUCUGCAUUCAUAUGAUUUUUGGGUGAUAAUCGGUCCCCUUCCACAACUGUCUUGAUGUUAUUCUAAUUCACACAUACAUGCAAGUUCUUGGACAGAACUUGGAACCUGAAGUUCACACUGAAUGUUGUUGUGAAGAACCACCACACAAAUUGCCUCAUGCCAAACUCCUGACGAAUUCCCUCGUGUUAAUAAUU